RNAcentral lists this ribosomal RNA (349 nucleotides) under uncultured bacterium. RNAcentral's name for it is "partial 16S ribosomal RNA". It matches the Rfam family "Bacterial small subunit ribosomal RNA", at positions 338 to 684 of the family's 1533-position model. The record is from RNAcentral.
CCUACGGGAGACAGCAGUGAGGAAUAUUGGUCAAUGGACGAGAGUCUGAACCAGCCAAGUAGCGUGAAGGAUGACUGCCCUAUGGGUUGUAAACUUCGUUUAUAGGGGAAUAAAAUGUUCCACGUGUGGGAUUUUGUAUGUACCAUAUGAAUAAGGAUCGGCUAACGCCGUGCCAGCAGCCGCGGUAAUACGGAGGAUCCGAGCGUUAUCCGGAUUUAUUGGGUUUAAAGGGAGCGUAGGUGGAUUGUUAAGUCAGUUUUGAAAGUUUGCGGCUCAACCGUAAAAUUGCAGUUGAAACGGGCAGUCUUGAGUACAGUAGAGGUCGGCGGACUUCGUGGUGUAGCCGUGA